AACGCAUAAGUGAAAUGUAAAGCCACAUAUCGUUUGAAUAAUUUAACGUUUGAACAAUGCGUUUGCAAGAAAAAGAAGUCGAUGGCUACUAUGAUUUCUUUGUAAUGUACAAGUGUUACAUAUGGUACGUAUAGCAUUGAUUAGCGAUAAAAGAAGAAAAAAUGAGAGAAAAAAAAAAGAAGAAUGAGGACAAAGUAAGUAUAUUGGAAAAGAUUCGCAAUGACAUAAAAUACGGUCAGAUAAAAACAGAUUCACGAACAUUUAUCUAUAUUCGAGUCGAGCAUGAAUGUUAAAGAAGAAGUUUUAUCGAUUUAAUGGUCCGUUGUACAAUUAUAUAUAUAUAAAAAAAAAAAACACGUUAAUACACGUAGGUUCUCUCGUUCUCGAAUUUCAAAUAUCCCGCCAUUAUGUUUCUUUUCAAAAUGGUCGUCGUUCUCUCCGUGCGAUCGAAGCUACCAGAAUUUUUUUUUUGUUUUUACUAAUAAUCAUGCAAUAUUUAGAUCUUUAUGUCGUCAGAUUAGAUUAGAAUUUCAUCAAGAAUGCAAAACGUAAUCGUUUACAAAUCGAAAUUAGUCACCCGUUAUAUUAGCGCGAGCAUUGUAAGUACGUAACUUAUACAACUAACGACUGCAUCGAAGGAAUUAUAUACGGUUGUGCGUGGAACAGGUGGUUAGAGAAGGAUAGAAAGAGGAAAACAAGAAAAAUGAUAAGAGAAAGAGAGAGAUAAAGAUAUUCGUGCGUAGUUACGGAGUUGAUCUUAUAAUAAUAUUUGUUCACGUUGAAGAAAUUUGAUAUAAAUCAUCGAGAUAUGAAGACUUUUGUGCGUCGCACCAAAAUUGUAUUACUCGAUGAAGGAGAAAAAAAUCGAAGUUAUCGAUUGGCGUUCGAUCGAUCGUAAGAUACGUAAUGAAUAACCAAUGAACGUCAGAUCUCGUCAUUGCUGUCGACCAAUUAAAAUUCAUAGGCGAACAGGUCUCCGUGGUUUCGACCAAUCAGGUGCAGUCAAUGUAUGCGAAAAAAUCGUCAACGGUCAAAGGUAUUCGUGCAUGGACGCGUUACAGAUCGAUGAUUAGAAUAAAUCAUUGGAAGGUUGCUCUCGAGAAGGAUAAAAAAUAAGUUGCAUGUAUUUUCAUGCAACGAGAAAAGAAUACGCGAGGAAAGAUCUUGGAGAUUCAUCGUUGCAGUGAAUAAUAAGAAGCAAAAAAUGAUUGGAAAACAAACGGAUUCCAAGAGAGAUAGAAGGAUGAAAGUUAGAGACUCACCAAACUGGCCAAUCGCCAAAGACGAGGAUCCACAGCAGAGUAGAACGACGAGGAACAGCAAUACGUAAGGCCAUUGUGAGGGAGAAGAAGAACCGGUCGCCUCGUAGUCG
Long non-coding RNA from Vespa crabro (European hornet), 1372 nucleotides. RefSeq lists it as uncharacterized. The record is from RefSeq and is a predicted model, not a curated record. Lineage: Eukaryota; Metazoa; Arthropoda; Insecta; Hymenoptera; Vespidae. The transcript is spliced from 3 exons.